AAAAUUUAGUCCUGAUAUCAAUGAUGAGUUCAUUUACAACCACUGGGUCGAUGCCACUGCUGGUAGAGAUUUAUUUCCCCGAGGGUAUCACCAGCCCAGUAGUCAGCACUUUAUUUGCUGACAUGAAUUAUCAUUGAUAUGGUUAUAUUUAUAAAUUAACUGUUUACAAAAUUUUAAAUUUUUGAAAUACUAAGGCUUUUCUACCUCAGGCA
This 212-nucleotide long non-coding RNA is filed under the name Mytilus galloprovincialis (Mediterranean mussel). The record is from RNAcentral. Lineage: Eukaryota; Metazoa; Mollusca; Bivalvia; Mytilida; Mytilidae.